UUACGUAGUAGACAGUUAGGAAGAAGCGAUAAAAAAGCAUUCCACAGUACAGGCUGCUCUGGAUUCACUUCUGGCAGGUGUUGCGGAGAAUGCUCUGGGCGGUGAAGUUUACGUUUCUGAUGACGAUUCUGGUUUUACGACUUCAUCCCUCCCCAAACCCCAAGCUCAAAAGGACGUCACAAAGAUGGACCCACGUAAUCCGAAGGGACUAACAGCUCUAUGGGUCGGAAAUGUUUUACCAGAUAAAGUAGAUGAUAAAAACUUUUGAAAAUCUUUUCUAGCUAACCUCGACGAAGUGGAGAUGAGCUUAUGCUAAACCCCGAUGUUGACGUCGGCGUUAGCGUCUGCGUCCCAAGUAACUAUAAGCCCUACCUGAACCAAAAUUGCAUGGAUGAUGCAUUUAGGGAUGGACACUACCAGACUUGGUUCGGAUGCUGGAUCUGACCUACAUUUUUCAGAUGAGUGACCAGGUUAGAGUUUUUGGAGCAGGUCCAUUCCCAAGGUACUAUAAGCCCUAC
Molecule: long non-coding RNA, 518 nt
Organism: Saccostrea cuccullata (small rock oyster)
Lineage: Eukaryota; Metazoa; Mollusca; Bivalvia; Ostreida; Ostreidae
Exons: 4
Source: RefSeq, a predicted model, not a curated record